UUAUCUAAAGGUCUGAUAUUCUGAAGGAGCUGACAUAUAUGUUUUAUUAACAAUUAUUUAUCAACAAAGAAGUUCAGAAUAGUGUGUGAUAAAUCCACUGAGUGUCCAUGCAUUGACUCCUGGGAACUAUCGUUUUAGAAGUAUCGACCCCGCGCUAAAAUAACCAUUUAUAAAUUGAAUGUCUUCAGAGGAUUGGCCUCUGUUGCUUUUUCCAUCACCAGGAAAGCUCGCAGCUAAUUAUCCGAAUUCAGAGUUAUCUCCCUGUAGUGUAGAAUGAGCCAACCAAUAUGCGUGUACUUCAAUACAAGGAAUGGAUGUAAAAAUGGGGAUCGAUGUAAAUUCGUUCACCAAAAAAUUGAUUCUUCGCAAAGAUCUAAAUGCAGGAAUUACAGGGGACCAGGCACCUGUAAAUAUUACGAUAACUGUUUUUUCCGUCAUGAAGAGUCAGAACCAGAUAUUCUCGCCACGCAAUUACAGAGUUUGGUAAUAUCAGAUCAAACGAAUGAUGAAAGAUAUGCCAAAGAGUCCGUGGUUGUUAUGGAUAUUUUUCCAAAACUCACGCGAGAUCUCGUACACGACAUCAUUAAUCCAACUGAGAUAUUUCAUUUGUUACAAGACGGUUCUAUUCGACACACAUUUACAGAGAGAGAAAAUGACAUGGUUGAUAGCCUUGUGUAUAAUGGGUACAAUAAAUGCGACGUUGAUUUCAUUUACAAAAUAGUAUGGCAAUUACUUCCGAAACCUCCUUGUGGGUGGCAAACAUUUCCGGAAAACUCCGACUUAUCAGUAGGUGAUGAUUUGCAAAGAAUCUAUCUGAGAAGCAAAUUAUUCUAUUCACGACCUCGUUUUGAAAUAUUGGGAGAAGAAUUCGCCGCUUGGUUCAAAGAAUUCAAAGAUGUGGCGAAGCGAAUCGAUAUUUUUUUGCAUAAGCAAGCAGACGAAGCAUAUCUGUGUAAGAUUUCAAAUAUAGAAAGUAACAAGUUCGAUAAAAGCUACAUAAAAAACCUGUAUUGAAAAAGCUCGUCAAAUUGAAAACAUGCAAGUGGGCAGAACAUGCAGAAGCAAUGAAACCUCUAUUAAUCUUUUCAUCGGAAGAUCUGGUAGAGAGUGUAUAGAUCGUAUCAUAAAAGAAGG
Mytilus trossulus (common blue mussel) is the source of this 1134-nucleotide long non-coding RNA. RefSeq lists it as uncharacterized. The record is from RefSeq and is a predicted model, not a curated record. The transcript is spliced from 4 exons. Lineage: Eukaryota; Metazoa; Mollusca; Bivalvia; Mytilida; Mytilidae.